RNAcentral lists this long non-coding RNA (189 nucleotides) under Mustela putorius furo (domestic ferret). RNAcentral describes it as "lncRNA (ENSMPUG00000031300.1)". The record is from RNAcentral. Lineage: Eukaryota; Metazoa; Chordata; Mammalia; Carnivora; Mustelidae.
CCUCUCUCCACCACACCUUCACGACUACGUCUGGGAAACAUUCUCCACUUUGAAGGGCGUGUGCAGCAUUAGGACUGGACCCACCAGCCAACACGGGAUGAUCUCCCUGUCUCCAGCCUCUCCAGAGAGUUCCACUCCAACAGUGGCAGCAUGAGAAAUUCUGCAGACCUGCUCCUCAGUGAAACAAGC